This 424-nucleotide ribosomal RNA is filed under the name uncultured bacterium. RNAcentral's name for it is "bacterial SSU rRNA". It matches the Rfam family "Bacterial small subunit ribosomal RNA", at positions 358 to 795 of the family's 1533-position model. The record is from RNAcentral.
GGAAUUUUCCGCAAUGGGCGAAAGCCUGACGGAGCAACGCCGCGUGAGUGAAGACGGUCUUCGGAUCGUAAAACUCUGUUAUUAGGGAAGAACAAUCUUGACGGUACCUAAUCAGAAAGCCACGGCUAACUACGUGCCAGCAGCCGCGGUAAUACGUAGGUGGCAAGCGUUAUCCGGAAUUACUGGGCGUAAAGCGCGCGUAGGCGGUUUUUUAAGUCUGAUGUGAAAGCCCACGGCUCAACCGUGGAGGGUCAUUGGAAACUGGAAAACUUGAGUGCAGAAGAGGAAAGUGGAAUUCCAUGUGUAGCGGUGAAAUGCGCAGAGAUAUGGAGGAACACCAGUGGCGAGGGCGACUUUCUGGUCUGUAACUGACGCUGAUGUGCGAAAGCGUGGGGAUCAAACAGGAUUAGAUACCCCUGUAGUC